RNAcentral lists this ribosomal RNA (773 nucleotides) under uncultured bacterium. Its description in RNAcentral is "bacterial SSU rRNA". It matches the Rfam family "Bacterial small subunit ribosomal RNA", at positions 8 to 798 of the family's 1533-position model. The record is from RNAcentral.
AGAGUUUGAUCAUGGCUCAGGACGAACGCUGGCGGCGUGCUUAACACAUGCAAGUCGAACGGAAAGGCCCUUCGGGGUACUCGAGUGGCGAACGGGUGAGUAACACGUGGGUGAUCUGCCCUGCACUCUGGGAUAAGCCUGGGAAACUGGGUCUAAUACCGGAUAGGACCGCAUGCUUCAUGGUGUGUGGUGCAAAGCUUUUGCGGUGUGGGAUGAGCCCGCGGCCUAUCAGCUUGUUGGUGGGGUAAUGGCCUACCAAGGCGACGACGGGUAGCCGGCCUGAGAGGGUGACCGGCCACACUGGGACUGAGAUACGGCCCAGACUCCUACGGGAGGCAGCAGUGGGGAAUAUUGCACAAUGGGCGCAAGCCUGAUGCAGCGACGCCGCGUGAGGGAUGACGGCCUUCGGGUUGUAAACCUCUUUCACCAGGGACGAAGCGCAAGUGACGGUACCUGGAGAAGAAGCACCGGCCAACUACGUGCCAGCAGCCGCGGUAAUACGUAGGGUGCGAGCGUUGUCCGGAAUUACUGGGCGUAAAGAGCUCGUAGGUGGUUUGUCGCGUUGUUCGUGAAAACUCACAGCUUAACUGUGGGCGUGCGGGCGAUACGGGCAGACUAGAGUACUGCAGGGGAGACUGGAAUUCCUGGUGUAGCGGUGGAAUGCGCAGAUAUCAGGAGGAACACCGGUGGCGAAGGCGGGUCUCUGGGCAGUAACUGACGCUGAGGAGCGAAAGCGUGGGGAGCGAACAGGAUUAGAUACCCUGGUAGUCCAA